GGUGGAGCGAUUUGUCUGGUUAAUUCCGAUAACGAACGAGACUCUAGCCUACUAAAUAGACGACUCUUCUUUCAGAGUGUCGUGCUUCUUAGAGGGACAAGCGGCGUUUAGCUGCACGAGAUUGAGCAAUAACAGGUCUGUGAUGCCCUUAGAUGUCCGGGGCUGCACGCGCGCUACACUGAAGGCAUCAGCGUGCAUAUCGACCUACUCCGGAAGGAGCGGGUAACCCGUUGAAACGCUUUCGUGAUUGGGAUAGGGAAUUGCAAUUAUUUCCCUUGAACGAGGAAUUCCCAGUAAGUGCGAGUCAUCAGCUCGCGUUGAU
This 322-nucleotide ribosomal RNA is filed under the name Nematoda environmental sample. Its description in RNAcentral is "SSU rRNA". It matches the Rfam family "Eukaryotic small subunit ribosomal RNA", at positions 1300 to 1645 of the family's 1831-position model. Lineage: Eukaryota; Metazoa; Nematoda. The record is from RNAcentral.